CUGGGGUCUCUGCAUUUACAGGGCCAUCAGUGGAGCAGAGGAGAUAGACCUUAUCUCAUUACACCUGUGCUGGGUUCUGUUGGUCAGUUUUCUCUUGCUAUGACAAAAUGCCAGAGCAAAACAGCCUGAAGGAGGGUUUAUUGUGGUUCACUGCUUUGGAGAUUGCAUCAGUCCAUAGCAGCUCACCUCACUGACAACUGGGAAGUAAAGCGGGGAGAACCAGGGGUGAGAUACAGUUUCCAAGGACACUCUCCCUUCACCAAGACCCUCCCCUGUGAGCCCUCAUGGCCUGGAUGGGACAGCACUCUGGCAGGACUAGGCCAGCUUGUUGCAGGAUUGAAGAAGAGGGACCCAGUCACAUUCCUGCGGGCAGCUUAGAGCAAGCAUCAUACAGAGGAUCUGGAUGCAGUCACAAAGGGUGAUCAUCCGUCUACCCAAGAGACAAACCAAGGUGGGGUAGCCUGGGGCUGGGCCAGCCUGGGUUUCCAUGACAGCUUGGCAAUGCUGGAGCCUGGCCUAGGUGAGGUGAGCGGAAGGCAACAGCAGAGGACGAAUUUCCCAGAAGCUUUAUAACAGCCUUUCCUGCUCUGAGAUGUUGUGGCCUCCUCCCAUGGACCCUACACAGCAAUGAGGCUCAGCCCAGGCCUGUAGGAGCCUCAGAAAGUGUUGCCAGCAGGCCCCAUCCUGAAGACCAGAGCGAUGGCUGCAUGGUGAUGCCUGGAUCCAGCCCUUCUUGUUCAGAAGAGAACACCAAGGGUCAGAGGGGCAGGACUGUACUUGGGUCACACUGGAAGAUGAUGACUAAGGUAUGACUCAGAUGGUGUCUCCUUGAUCCCAGGCCAGUCCUCGUGCAUUGCCUGUAAGGUCUCAGAUCUGUCUCCGCC
RNAcentral lists this long non-coding RNA (884 nucleotides) under Fukomys damarensis (Damara mole-rat). Its description in RNAcentral is "lncRNA (ENSFDAG00000029454.1)". The record is from RNAcentral. Lineage: Eukaryota; Metazoa; Chordata; Mammalia; Rodentia; Bathyergidae.